Molecule: non-coding RNA, 105 nt
Organism: Myriangium duriaei CBS 260.36
Lineage: Eukaryota; Fungi; Ascomycota; Dothideomycetes; Myriangiales; Myriangiaceae
Source: the annotation of a GenBank genome assembly
GUCGCUUUAGCUCACUUGGGAGAGCGCCAGACUGAAGAUAAACUUUGGUCCCACUAGCAACUGUGCGGUAUCUGGAGGUACUGUGUUCGAUCCACAGAAGCGACA